This is a long non-coding RNA of Oncorhynchus kisutch (coho salmon), 2174 nucleotides long. RefSeq lists it as uncharacterized. The transcript has 2 exons. The record is from RefSeq and is a predicted model, not a curated record. Lineage: Eukaryota; Metazoa; Chordata; Actinopteri; Salmoniformes; Salmonidae.
GAGUCUGAAACACCACUAAGCAAGGGGCACCAUGAAGGCCAAGGAGCUCUCCAAACAGGAGGAAUCCCGUUACAGAAUCACCCACCACAACAGGACCAAGCGGCGUGGUAGUGAACGUGGGUGAGUGCAGUGUGGAUAGCAAUUGAGAUUGCUUCAACUAUGUCAUGCUCAUUCCGGCUUGUCAAUUAGAUAUGGGGAUGUGCUCCCGAAAUGUACCAGUAGCGGGAAACAACGCAGUCAUGCGAAAAUAGAAUGUUUUAUGGUAAGUUAAUAAAAAAAAUAAUAGUGUAUGGACUCCAGGCCAAAGUACAACACGCCCCAUCCACAUCGACGGGGCGGCAGUGGAACAGGUAGACAGGUUCGAGUUCCUCGGUGUCCAAAUCACUAAAGACUUAAUGGUCCAAACACGCGCAUAGUCGUGAAGAAGGUUCGACAGUGCCUCUUCCCCCUCAGGGGUUGAAAUAGUUUGGCUUGGGCCCUCAAAUCCUGAAAAGGUUCUACAGCUGUACCAUUGAGAGCAUAUUGACUGGCUGCAUCACUGCCUGGUAUGGCUAUAGCACCACCCUCGAUUGCAUGGCGCUACAAAGGGUUGUUUGGACAGCCCAGUACAUUACUGGGGCCGAGCUCCAUGCCAUCCAGGACCUCUGUAUCAGGUGGUGUAAAAGACCCCAAAACCAUCCAAGCUAUAGACUAUUUUCUCUGCUAACGCAUGGCAAGAGGUACUGGUGCGUAUGACACCAACGGGCUCUUCAACAGCUUCUAUCACCAUGCAAUAUGACCGAUAAAUAGCUCCACGGACUGAGUUUACCUUUUAUUUCAGGAUUUUGCACUUUCUAUGCACACUCACAGGGCCCUACACACACACACACACACACACACACACACACACACACACACACACACACCAUCAUUUACUCACUCACACAUAAAACGCACAGACAUUUACACUGACUCUACAUAACCACUCACACACAAGCGUCUGCUUCUCUGUUCAUCUUCUAUCCUGUUACAUAGUCACCUUAACUUUAUACAUAUCUACCUCCAUCACUCCAGUAUCCCUGCACAUGUAAACAAUUGUAUUCAAACUGACUUUUUAAAUAUGUCCUGUAUAUAGUAUGUAUAGUAUGUAUAGUAUGCUUACUUUAUUGUGUAUUUCAUGUUUCUUAUUCUUAUUUCUCGUGUGUUUUUUUUCUAGUAUGACAUUGUUAUUGAUUAUAGCAUUGUUGGGUUUUAAGUUAGCAAAAAAGGCAUUUCACUGUACAGUACUUGUGCAUGUGACAUUACAACUUCAAACUUGACAUCCUGGCAUUUAAAGUAUACUUAUUUUUUCAAAAUGUUACAUACUAUAAAACAUUAUAUUUUUUUUUUCUCCCACAUGCUCAAACAGCCUACUAUUUAGGCAUCAAUAUUACAAUUGCGGUAAAAUAUGGAGCACUCUGGGAAGAUUACUAGAUGUCUUUAGUAGAUCCGGCAAUGUGCUUAACUUUGAUAGAUGUAAACACAAUUAACCUUAUGCCAUCCACACCCCACAUAAACACUGUUUUCCUUCUGCUCUCUUAAUUAGGCAGAGAACAAAGUAGCUUUUCCAUGGACCUUUCUUUCGUUUUUAGCGUCAAUUACAUCCUAAUGAAUAGAGUUGAAUGAAAACUGCGUUUUGGGGUGUGGAUGACAGAGUUAAUUGUGUUUAUGACUUUUAGAGUCUAAUCAAUAAGAUUGAACCUUUAGUGUCAUAGAAUAUGUUCCGUUCUGUCUACACGUUUUGUCACAUGCGUUAUGAUCAUUACAGAUUUAUGUACAUGUAGCUAGAAACACUAAAGGUUUAUAAUGAGUUUGAUGUGAACUAUUUAAUUGUUGAUGUAAGUUAAUAUUUUCAUUGUUGUCAUAAACUGUUAUAAAGCAUCAUGUCAAGCACUAUAUUAUGUUCAUAACUGCCAUUACCCAUUAGGACAGGUUGGAAGCAUUGCCUCAUUGGUUUACCAUAUUAUAUGUGAAUUCAAGUGUAUCAGAAUGCCUUUACAAUACAGCAGUUAUAAUCACUUCAUUAAUAUUCAGGGAGUCAUGUUUUGAACACAAUUCAGUCAUUGUCCUUCAUGUGUAGUCAUUUUUUUCUGUAGUCCCUAAAGACUCAUUGUCCUUGGAAUGACACUCAAAUAAAGACAUAAAUAAUAUGGAAA